This 1121-nucleotide ribosomal RNA is filed under the name uncultured archaeon. RNAcentral's name for it is "bacterial SSU rRNA". It matches the Rfam family "Archaeal small subunit ribosomal RNA", at positions 325 to 1450 of the family's 1478-position model. The record is from RNAcentral.
ACGGGGCGCAGCAGGCGCGAACACUGUGCAAUGCGCGAAAGCGCGACACGGGGAGCUUGAGUGUCUUGGCAUAGCCAAGACUUUUCUCAUUCCUAAAAAGCAUGAGGAAUAAGUGCUGGGUAAGACGGGUGCCAGCCGCCGCGGUAACACCCGCAGCACAAGUGGUGGUCACUUUUAUUGAGCCUAAAGCGUUCGUAGCCGGUUUUGUAAAUCUUUAGAUAAAGCCUGAAGCUUAACUCCAGAAAGUCUGAAGAGACUGCAAGACUUGAGAUCGGGUGAGGUUAAACGUACUUUCAGGGUAGGGGUAAAAUCCUGUAAUCCCGGAAGGACGACCAGUGGCGAAAGCGUUUAACUAGAACGAAUCUGACGGUAAGGAACGAAGGCUAGGGUAGCAAACCGGAUUAGAUACCCGGGUAGUCCUAGCUGUAAACAUUGCCCAUUUGAUGUUGCUUUUCCGUUGAGGGAAGGCAGUGUCGGAGCGAAGGUGUUAAAUGGGCCGCUUGGGAAGUAUGGUCGCAAGACUGAAACUUAAAGGAAUUGGCGGGGGAGCACCGCAACGGGAGGAAUGUGCGGUUUAAUUGGAUUCAACGCCGGAAAACUCACCGGGAACGACCUGUGCAUGAGAGUCAACCUGACGAGUUUACUCGAUAGCAGGAGAGGUGGUGCAUGGCCGUCGUCAGCUCGUACCGUAGGGCGUUCACUUAAGUGUGAUAACGAGCGAGACCCACAUCUUUAAUUGCAAAUGUAUAUGAGAAUAUGCAUGCACUUUAGAGAAACCGCCAGCGCUAAGUUGGAGGAAGGAGUGGUCGACGGCAGGUCAGUACGCCCCGAAUUUCCCGGGCUACACGCGCAUUACAAAGAACGGGACAAUACGUUGCAACCUCGAAAGGGGAAGCUAAUCGCGAAACCCGUCCAUAGUUAGGAUUGAGGGCUGUAACUCGCCCUCAUGAAUCUGGAUUCCGUAGUAAUCGCGGGUCAACAACCCGCGGUGAACAUGCCCCUGCCCCUUGCACACACCGCCCGUCAAACCAUCCGAGUUGGUGUUGGAUGAGGUUUAAUUCGAGAGGGUUAAAUCAAAUCUGAUGUCGGUGAGGAGGGUUAAGUCGUAACAAGGUAGCCGU